UGGAGAGAAACAUUUUAAUAGGUUUGCUUAGUGUGCUUGUGGCAUGGACGUGGCUCGCUAAGAGGUAGAGAGCAGACAGAAGGAGACCACCAAGAUAACCAACUUUACUCAACUUCAAGGCCCACAAAAACCGAGUAUGUGAUCAGGGUCAGUUAUCUUUGGACUAUUCUGGGGUCUUGGACUUCUGAACUGCAUGAAAACAUGGCAGGACCUGACUGGAGAUCAGCACCAGAUUAAGAGGUUGACUGAUAAGGGAUGAAAAAGGUGAAGUCUAAUAAGCAGAGGGCAAGAAGCAGAGGAAGAUGACUGUAGAGAAAAUCCACAGCUUCCCUGGAAACCAUGUUAUCUGCAGAAAAAUAAAAGCACUAGUUUAUCUGUUU
This is a long non-coding RNA of Mus pahari (shrew mouse), 380 nucleotides long. RefSeq lists it as uncharacterized. The record is from RefSeq and is a predicted model, not a curated record. Lineage: Eukaryota; Metazoa; Chordata; Mammalia; Rodentia; Muridae. The transcript has 4 exons.